CCUACGGGAGACAGCAGUGAGGAAUAUUGGUCAAUGGGCGCGAGCCUGAACCAGCCAAGUAGCGUGAGGGAAGACUGCCCUAUGUGUUGUAAACCUCUUUUAUGCGGGGAUAAAGGUGUCCACGUGUUGAUGUUUUCAGGUACCGCAUGAAUAAGGACCGGCUAAUUCCGUGCCAGCAGACGCGGUAAUACGGAAGGUCCGGGCGUUAUCCGGAUUUAUUGGGUUUAAAGGGAGCGUAGGCCGGUCUUUAAGCGUGCCGUGAAAUUUUGUGGCUCAACCAUGAGAGAGCGGCGCGAACUGGAGACCUUGAGUGCGCGGAAGGCAGGCGGAAUUCGUGGUGUAGCGGUGAAAUGCUUAGAUAUCACGAAGAACCCCGAUUGCGAAGGCAGCCUGCCGCAGCGUUACUGACGCUGAAGCUCGAAAGCGCGGGUAUCGAACAGGAUUAGAUACCCCUGUAGUC
Molecule: ribosomal RNA, 460 nt
Filed under: uncultured bacterium
Lineage: Bacteria
Description: partial 16S ribosomal RNA
Rfam family: Bacterial small subunit ribosomal RNA
Source: RNAcentral